This 388-nucleotide ribosomal RNA is filed under the name uncultured bacterium. RNAcentral's name for it is "bacterial SSU rRNA". It matches the Rfam family "Bacterial small subunit ribosomal RNA", at positions 28 to 417 of the family's 1533-position model. The record is from RNAcentral.
GACGAACGCUGGCGGCGUGCUUAACACAUGCAAGUCGAGCGGUAAGGCCCUUUCGGGGGUACACGAGCGGCGAACGGGUGAGUAACACGUGGGUGACCUGCCCUCAGCUCUGGGAUAAGCCUGGGAAACCGGGUCUAAUACUGGAUAUGACUCCAUGACGCAUGUUGUGGGGUGGAAAGCCUUGUGCGGCUGAGGAUGGGCCCGCGGCCCAUCAGCUUGUUGGUGGGGUGANGGCCUACCAAGGCGACGACGGGUAGCCGGCCUGAGAGGGCGACCGGCCACACUGGGACUGAGACACGGCCCAGACUCCUACGGGAGGCAGCAGUGGGGAAUCUUGCGCAACGGGCGAAAGCCUGACGCAGCGACGCCGCGUGAGGGAUGACGGCCU